This 334-nucleotide ribosomal RNA is filed under the name uncultured bacterium. RNAcentral's name for it is "bacterial SSU rRNA". It matches the Rfam family "Bacterial small subunit ribosomal RNA", at positions 568 to 898 of the family's 1533-position model. The record is from RNAcentral.
CGUGUAGGCGGAUAUGUAAGUCUACUCUGAAAGCUUCUGGCUAAACUGGAAGAGGCGAGUGGAGACUGCAUGUCUAGAGUGAGGAAGAGGAAAGUGGAAUUCCGCGUGUAGUGGUGAAAUGCGUAGAGAUGCGGAGGAACACCAGUGGCGAAAGCGGCUUUCUGGUCCUUAACUGACGCUGAGGCGCGAAAGCAUGGGGAGCGAACGGGAUUAGAAACCCCGGUAGUCCAUGCCGUAAACGAUGUUCACUAAACGUUCGUUUCCCGCGAGGGAAGCGGGUGUUGAAGCUAACGCAGUAAGUGAACCGCCUGGGGAGUACGGUCGCAAGGCUAAA